GUAGGGGGCGAGCGUUGUCCGGAUUUAUUGGGCGUAAAGAGCUCGUAGGCGGUUGCGUAAGUCGGAUGUGAAAACUCAGGGCUCAACCCUGAGAUGCCAUUCGAUACUGCGCUGACUCGAGUCCGGUAGGGGAGCAUGGAAUUCCUGGUGUAGCGGUGAAAUGCGCAGAUAUCAGGAGGAACACCAGUGGCGAAGGCGGUGCUCUGGGCCGGUACUGACGCUGAGGAGCGAAAGCAUGGGUAGCAAACAGGAUUAGAUACCCUGGUAGUCCCAUGCCCGUAAACGUUGGGCACUAGGUGUGGGGCCUACUUAACGGGUUCCGUGCCGUAGCUAACGCAUUAAGUGCCCCCGCCUGGGAGUACGGCCGCAAGGCUA
RNAcentral lists this ribosomal RNA (375 nucleotides) under uncultured organism. RNAcentral's name for it is "partial 16S ribosomal RNA". It matches the Rfam family "Bacterial small subunit ribosomal RNA", at positions 527 to 896 of the family's 1533-position model. The record is from RNAcentral.